Molecule: ribosomal RNA, 391 nt
Filed under: Streptococcus equinus
Lineage: Bacteria; Bacillati; Bacillota; Bacilli; Lactobacillales; Streptococcaceae
Description: bacterial SSU rRNA
Rfam family: Bacterial small subunit ribosomal RNA
Source: RNAcentral
UCCUACGGGAGGCAGCAGUAGGGAAUCUUCGGCAAUGGGGGCAACCCUGACCGAGCAACGCCGCGUGAGUGAAGAAGGUUUUCGGAUCGUAAAGCUCUGUUGUAAGAGAAGAACGUGUGUGAGAGUGGAAAGUUCACACAGUGACGGUAACUUACCAGAAAGGGACGGCUAACUACGUGCCAGCAGCCGCGGUAAUACGUAGGUCCCGAGCGUUGUCCGGAUUUAUUGGGCGUAAAGCGAGCGCAGGCGGUUUAAUAAGUCUGAAGUUAAAGGCAGUGGCUUAACCAUUGUUCGCUUUGGAAACUGUUAGACUUGAGUGCAGAAGGGGAGAGUGGAAUUCCAUGUGUAGCGGUGAAAUGCGUAGAUAUAUGGAGGAACACCGGUGGCGAAA